UGAUUGAGGGCUAUUGUGGAAAGUCUCCGC
RNAcentral lists this non-coding RNA (30 nucleotides) under Homo sapiens (human). Lineage: Eukaryota; Metazoa; Chordata; Mammalia; Primates; Hominidae. The record is from RNAcentral.